UGCUUUGCAUGGUGGCAUUAUCAUAGACAAUGAGGUUUAACUGAGUCUCGAUUAUUGCUAAUUGAAAACUCAAA
This 74-nucleotide small nuclear RNA is filed under the name Monodelphis domestica (gray short-tailed opossum). RNAcentral describes it as "U4 spliceosomal RNA". It matches the Rfam family "U4 spliceosomal RNA", at positions 1 to 74 of the family's 138-position model. From Rfam's summary of the family: U4 small nuclear RNA (U4 snRNA) is a component of the major U2-dependent spliceosome. Lineage: Eukaryota; Metazoa; Chordata; Mammalia; Didelphimorphia; Didelphidae. The record is from Rfam by way of RNAcentral.